This 226-nucleotide microRNA precursor is filed under the name Trypanosoma vivax Y486. The record is from RNAcentral. Lineage: Eukaryota; Euglenozoa; Kinetoplastea; Trypanosomatida; Trypanosomatidae.
GAAAAAAAAAAAAGCAAGAGAAAAGAAAAGGAGAAGGAACGGAGAAGCGUGUUUGACAAGAGAAGGGCAAGGCGCUUUUGUUGAAGAAGGGUUUUCUUUCGAAAUCGCACGUCACGCCCUUCUUUAGGUUUGUUUUUUCCCGCAUUGCCUUGUUUUGCUUUUCGCUCUUCACCUCGACGCGUCGGCUUACCUUUUUCUCCUUUUCUUUUCCUUGCCCUUUUUUUUC